UGUAUCUCCAGGUGAGGUGAUUAGAUCCAAUGGUGUGUUUGUUGUACCUCUAGGUGAGGUGAUUAGACACAGCGGUGAGUCUGUGGUAUCUCCAAGUGAGGUGAUUAGGUCCAAUGGUGUGUUUGUUGUACCUCUAGGUGAGGUGAUUAGACACAGCGGUGAGUCUGUGGUAUCUCUUGGUGAGGUGAUUAGAUCCAGUGGUGAGUCUGUUGUAUCUCCAGGUGAGGUGAUUAGAUCCAAUGGUGAGUGUGUGGUAUCUCCAGGUGAGGUGA
Molecule: long non-coding RNA, 272 nt
Organism: Haliotis rubra (blacklip abalone)
Lineage: Eukaryota; Metazoa; Mollusca; Gastropoda; Lepetellida; Haliotidae
Exons: 2
Source: RefSeq, a predicted model, not a curated record